GGAGCGGUGGCUGAGUGGCUUAAGGCAGCGGUUUGCUAAACCGUCAUACGGUUUUUCCGUAUCGGGAGUUCGAAUCUCCCCCGCUCCGCCA
Molecule: transfer RNA, 91 nt
Filed under: Alphaproteobacteria bacterium
Lineage: Bacteria; Pseudomonadati; Pseudomonadota; Alphaproteobacteria
Also listed under: 3 other names
Description: tRNA-Ser
Rfam family: tRNA
About the family: Transfer RNA (tRNA) molecules are approximately 80 nucleotides in length. Their secondary structure includes four short double-helical elements and three loops (D, anti-codon, and T loops).
Source: RNAcentral